Molecule: ribosomal RNA, 542 nt
Filed under: uncultured Glomeromycotina
Lineage: Eukaryota; Fungi; Glomeromycota
Description: SSU rRNA
Rfam family: Eukaryotic small subunit ribosomal RNA
Source: RNAcentral
GCAAGUCUGGUGCCAGCAGCCGCGGUAAUUCCAGCUCCAAUAGCGUAUAUUAAAGUUGUUGCAGUUAAAAAGCUCGUAGUUGAAUUUCGGGAUCAAUAUUUCGGUCAUGCCGUUGGUAUGCACUGUUAUCAUUGAUUUCUCACCUCCUAAAGAACCGUAAUGCCAUUAAUUUGGUGUUACGGGGAAUUAGGACUGUUACCUUGAAAAAAUUAGAGUGUUUAAAGCAGGCUCACGCUUGAAUACAUUAGCAUGGAAUAAUGAAAUAGGACAUCCGAUUCUAUUUUGUUGGUUUCUAGGAUCGAUGUAAUGAUUAAUAGGGAUAGUUGGGGGCAUUAGUAUUCAAUUGUCAGAGGUGAAAUUCUUGGAUUUAUUGAAGACUAACUACUGCGAAAGCAUUUGCCAAGGAUGUUUUCAUUAAUCAAGAACGAAAGUUAGGGGAUCGAAGACGAUCAGAUACCGUCGUAGUCUUAACCAUAAACUAUGCCGACUAGGGAUCGGAUGAUGUUAAUUUUUAAUGGCUCAUUCGGCGCCUUACGGGAAAC